RNAcentral lists this transfer RNA (64 nucleotides) under Binodoxys communis. RNAcentral's name for it is "tRNA-Met". The record is from RNAcentral. Lineage: Eukaryota; Metazoa; Arthropoda; Insecta; Hymenoptera; Braconidae.
AUAAAGAUAAGCUAAGAGUAAGCUUUUUGACUCAUACUCAUAAUAUAGAUUUAAUCUUCUUUAU